UACGGGGGGGAGCAAGCGUUGUUCGGAUUUACUGGGCGUAAAGGGCGCGUAGGCGGCACCGCAAGUCGACUGUGAAAUCUCCGGGCUUAACCCGGAAAGGUCAGCCGAUACUGCGGGGCUAGAGUGCAGAAGGGGCAACUGGAAUUCUCGGUGUAGCGGUGAAAUGCGUAGAUAUCGAGAGGAACACCUGCGGCGAAGGCGGGUUGCUGGGCUGACACUGACGCUGAUGCGCGAAAGCUAGGGGAGCGAACGGG
Molecule: ribosomal RNA, 254 nt
Filed under: uncultured bacterium
Lineage: Bacteria
Description: partial 16S ribosomal RNA
Rfam family: Bacterial small subunit ribosomal RNA
Source: RNAcentral